AACGAACGCUGGCGGCAUGCCUAACACAUGCAAGUCGAACGAGACCUUCGGGUCUAGUGGCGCACGGGUGCGUAACGCGUGGGAACCUGCCCUUAGGUUCGGAAUAACUCCCCGAAAGGGGUGCUAAUGCCGGAUAAUGUCUUCGGACCAAAGAUUUAUCGCCUUUGGAUGGGCCCGCGUUGGAUUAGCUAGUUGGUAGGGUAAAAGCCUACCAAGGCGACGAUCCGUAGCUGGUCUGAGAGGAUGAUCAGCCACACUGGGACUGAGACACGGCCCAGACUCCUACGGGAGGCAGCAGUGGGGAAUAUUGGACAAUGGGCGAAAGCCUGAUCCAGCAAUGCCGCGUGAGUGAUGAAGGCCUUAGGGUUGUAAAGCUCUUUUACCCGGGAUGAUAAUGACAGUACCGGGAGAAUAAGCUCCGGCUAACUCCGUG
Molecule: ribosomal RNA, 433 nt
Filed under: uncultured bacterium
Lineage: Bacteria
Description: partial 16S ribosomal RNA
Rfam family: Bacterial small subunit ribosomal RNA
Source: RNAcentral